This 716-nucleotide ribosomal RNA is filed under the name Escherichia coli. Its description in RNAcentral is "bacterial SSU rRNA". It matches the Rfam family "Bacterial small subunit ribosomal RNA", at positions 810 to 1526 of the family's 1533-position model. The record is from RNAcentral. Lineage: Bacteria; Pseudomonadati; Pseudomonadota; Gammaproteobacteria; Enterobacterales; Enterobacteriaceae.
UGUCGACUUGGAGGUUGUGCCCUUGAGGCGUGGCUUCCGGAGCUAACGCGUUAAGUCGACCGCCUGGGGAGUACGGCCGCAAGGUUAAAACUCAAAUGAAUUGACGGGGGCCCGCACAAGCGGUGGAGCAUGUGGUUUAAUUCGAUGCAACGCGAAGAACCUUACCUGGUCUUGACAUCCACAGAACUUUCCAGAGAUGGAUUGGUGCCUUCGGGAACUGUGAGACAGGUGCUGCAUGGCUGUCGUCAGCUCGUGUUGUGAAAUGUUGGGUUAAGUCCCGCAACGAGCGCAACCCUUAUCCUUUGUUGCCAGCGGUCCGGCCGGGAACUCAAAGGAGACUGCCAGUGAUAAACUGGAGGAAGGUGGGGAUGACGUCAAGUCAUCAUGGCCCUUACGACCAGGGCUACACACGUGCUACAAUGGCGCAUACAAAGAGAAGCGACCUCGCGAGAGCAAGCGGACCUCAUAAAGUGCGUCGUAGUCCGGAUUGGAGUCUGCAACUCGACUCCAUGAAGUCGGAAUCGCUAGUAAUCGUGGAUCAGAAUGCCACGGUGAAUACGUUCCCGGGCCUUGUACACACCGCCCGUCACACCAUGGGAGUGGGUUGCAAAAGAAGUAGGUAGCUUAACCUUCGGGAGGGCGCUUACCACUUUGUGAUUCAUGACUGGGGUGAAGUCGUAACAAGGUAACCGUAGGGGAACCUGCGGUUGGAUCAC